AUACGGAGGGUGCAAGCGUUAUCCGGAUUUAUUGGGUUUAAAGGGUCCGUAGGCGGACUAGUAAGUCAGUGGUGAAAGCCUUCAGCUUAACUGGAGAACUGCCAUUGAUACUGCUAGUCUUGAGUUCGGUUGAAGUGGGCGGAAUAUGUGGUGUAGCGGUGAAAUGCAUAGAUAUCACAUAGAACACCUAUUGCGAAGGCAGCUCACUAAGCCGAUACUGACGCUCAGGGACGAAAGCGUGGGGAGCGAACAGGAUUAGAAACCCUAGUAGUCC
RNAcentral lists this ribosomal RNA (274 nucleotides) under uncultured bacterium. RNAcentral's name for it is "partial 16S ribosomal RNA". It matches the Rfam family "Bacterial small subunit ribosomal RNA", at positions 523 to 796 of the family's 1533-position model. The record is from RNAcentral.